RNAcentral lists this ribosomal RNA (437 nucleotides) under uncultured bacterium. RNAcentral's name for it is "bacterial SSU rRNA". It matches the Rfam family "Bacterial small subunit ribosomal RNA", at positions 352 to 782 of the family's 1533-position model. The record is from RNAcentral.
CAGUCGAGAAUCUUUCACAAUGGGGGCAACCCUGAUGGAGCGACGCCGCGUGGAGGAUAAGGUCUUCGGAUUGUAAACUCCUGUCAUGCGUGAACAAGGCAGCCUGGUUAAUACCUGGGCUGAUUGAUGGUAACGCAAGAGGAAGAGACGGCUAACUCUGUGCCAGCAGCCGCGGUAAUACAGAGGUCUCAAGCGUUGUUCGGAAUCACUGGGCGUAAAGGGUGCGUAGGUGGCGUGGUAAGUCAGAUGUGAAAGCCCGGGGCUCAACCUCGGAACUGCAUCCGAUACUGCUGUGCUAGAGUACUGGAGAGGUGACUAGAAUUCUCGGUGUAGCAGUGAAAUGCGUAGAUAUCGAGAGGAAUACCAAAGGCGUAGGCAGGUCACUGGACAGUUACUGACACUGAGGCACGAAGGCCAGGGGAGCAAACGGGAUUAGA